AAAUUGAAGAGUUUGAUCAUGGCUCAGAUUGAACGCUGGCGGCAGGCCUAACACAUGCAAGUCGAACGGUAACAGAAAGCAGCUUGCUGCUUUGCUGACGAGUGGCGGACGGGUGAGUAAUGUCUGGGAAACUGCCUGAUGGAGGGGGAUAACUACUGGAAACGGUAGCUAAUACCGCAUAACGUCGCAAGACCAAAGAGGGGGACCUUCGGGCCUCUUGCCAUCGGAUGUGCCCAGAUGGGAUUAGCUUGUUGGUGGGGUAACGGCUCACCAAGGCGACGAUCCCUAGCUGGUCUGAGAGGAUGACCAGCCACACUGGAACUGAGACACGGUCCAGACUCCUACGGGAGGCAGCAGUGGGGAAUAUUGCACAAUGGGCGCAAGCCUGAUGCAGCCAUGCCGCGUGUAUGAAGAAGGCCUUCGGGUUGUAAAGUACUUUCAGCGGGGAGGAAGGGAGUAAAGUUAAUACCUUUGCUCAUUGACGUUACCCGCAGAAGAAGCACCGGCUAACUCCGUGCCAGCAGCCGCGGUAAUACGGAGGGUGCAAGCGUUAAUCGGAAUUACUGGGCGUAAAGCGCACGCAGGCGGUUUGUUAAGUCAGAUGUGAAAUCCCCGGGCUCAACCUGGGAACUGCAUCUGAUACUGGCAAGCUUGAGUCUCGUAGAGGGGGG
RNAcentral lists this ribosomal RNA (671 nucleotides) under Escherichia coli. RNAcentral's name for it is "bacterial SSU rRNA". It matches the Rfam family "Bacterial small subunit ribosomal RNA", at positions 1 to 661 of the family's 1533-position model. The record is from RNAcentral. Lineage: Bacteria; Pseudomonadati; Pseudomonadota; Gammaproteobacteria; Enterobacterales; Enterobacteriaceae.